Xenopus tropicalis (tropical clawed frog) is the source of this 86-nucleotide non-coding RNA. The record is from Rfam. NCBI's taxonomy places the organism in Eukaryota, Metazoa, Chordata, Amphibia, Anura, Pipidae.
GGCUCUUUGGCGCAAUGGAUAGCGCAUUGGACUUCUAGAUAAAUAAAGGUAUUCAAAGGUUGUGGGUUCGAGUCCCACCAGAGUCG